GGGAAAGAAAUAGAUACAGUCUAAGCUAAAUACCAGAUAAAGCAGUUAGUUUUAUUUAACCCUGUUAUGUAAAUGAAGGGGCCACUUGAAACAAGAAAAAGGGAGCAA
This is a long non-coding RNA of Gavialis gangeticus (Gharial), 108 nucleotides long. RefSeq lists it as uncharacterized. Lineage: Eukaryota; Metazoa; Chordata; Crocodylia; Gavialidae. The transcript is spliced from 4 exons. The record is from RefSeq and is a predicted model, not a curated record.